GACGAACGCUGGCGGCGUGCUUAACACAUGCAAGUCGAGCGGUAAGGCCCUUUCGGGGGUACACGAGCGGCGAACGGGUGAGUAACACGUGGGUGACCUGCCCUCAGCUCUGGGAUAAGCCUGGGAAACCGGGUCUAAUACUGGAUAUGACUCCAUGACGCAUGUUGUGGGGUGGAAAGCCUUGUGCGGCUGAGGAUGGGCCCGCGGCCUAUCAGCUUGUUGUGGGGUGANGGCCUACCAAGGCGACGACGGGUAGCCGGCCUGAGAGGGCGACCGGCCACACUGGGACUGAGACACGGCCCAGACUCCUACGGGAGGCAGCAGUGGGGAAUCUUGCGCAAUGGGCGAAAGCCUGACGCAGCGACGCCGCGUGAGGGAUGACGGCCUCGG
This 390-nucleotide ribosomal RNA is filed under the name uncultured bacterium. RNAcentral describes it as "bacterial SSU rRNA". It matches the Rfam family "Bacterial small subunit ribosomal RNA", at positions 28 to 420 of the family's 1533-position model. The record is from RNAcentral.